Molecule: long non-coding RNA, 1466 nt
Organism: Cornus florida
Lineage: Eukaryota; Viridiplantae; Streptophyta; Magnoliopsida; Cornales; Cornaceae
Exons: 3
Source: RefSeq, a predicted model, not a curated record
ACCAAAAUAUAUAUAUAUAUAUAGUGUAUGUAUAUAUUUAAUGCAUUUUUUGAAUAUUACCAAAAUAUCCUAACUGCCCUUCUCAUUUUUCCUACCAAUUGUUUGUCUAGGUCGUGGAAGUGGAAGGCAAAGUGGAAGGAAGGGUGCUGAAAAAUCUGGAAGGGAAGGGAACCUACUCGAAUUGCAUGUUGGUGUUCAUUUGUUUGUUUGGGUGUUUAUGGUAAAAAAAUUUCUUUUUGCUGCAAUAGAAUUCGCCACCCGUAAUUGAUUUGCAAAGGAAGUUGCUGUUCGUUUGGGUCUUCUGUUCGGAUUCGGAUUUGGAUCGUCAGAAAUUAAUGUGUUGUUUCUGUUCUUCGGUGGCCUGGUUUCAUGAAGAAGUACUAAGAAGUGCAGGGUCUAGUAGGGCCAAUCAAGGGUGGUGUAAGAAGAAUAAUAGAGAAGAAAUCCAGGGAUGUAUGGAGUGCAAUGACCAUGGAGGAGAAGGCUCCCUUUUAUAAGGGAAAAAGAUUGCGUGAUAUGGAAUUCAGAAAGUGUGGUGGCUUAGAAGUGAAUAAAAUGAAGAAGAAGGUUGAAUACAACAUUAAACCUAGGUGGAACAAAUGCUCACAGUAUUUAAACUUGGAGAGGAAAAGAGGAAUGAUGUUGCAGAUAUAGGUUUCAGCAAUUUACUAAACCUACAAUGUGAGCAUUUGUUUACCCCAUUGUUUGACUACAUCAUUGGACAUUUGGAGUUAGACAAAUGUCGCAUUAAACUUGAUGAUAAUCAAUAUCUCCCAAUUAAUACAAUUAAUGUCCACAACAUCCUCGGCUUACCUGCUAGAAUGACGACAGUGCCUACAUGUCCGCAAUUUGAUGCCAAUUGAAUAUGUAAAGGUGGAUAUCGCAAUUGGUUGCAUGUAAAUUCUUUGAUGGAAAGGGUAGAAGAAUUCGAGCCCAGCGAAGAUUUCAAAAGAGCGUUUGUGCUUUUUGCAUGUGCCGUUUUUCUAACAGCUAAUAGACGUUAUAAUGCACAUGUACAAGAAUUAAAGGUUGUUGAUAAUGUGAAUCAAAUAAAGUCUUACAACUGGUGCACGUAUGUGCUUGAAACUUUAAUGGAUCACUUGGGUGGAGUUGAAGGUGGGAAAAAAGUAUGAGUAUACUGGGUGCAUGUUUUUCCUGCAGGUAAAUAACAUUACCUACUUAUCUUUUACAAAAUACUUUAUUAUUAUCUCAUAAGUAUGAAUCAUGACUGAUUAAACACGGUGUAAUUUAAUUCAGCUUCUAUAUGUCAUUAGAUGUAAAGUUAAAUUUGAAAAUUUUCUCAAAAAUUGAAGGUGAAGAUUGUGUGGAUCAAAAAAGAGGAGUUAGUCAAUUAUGUACCAAUUGAUUCUAUGGAACUAGUUUCCAAAAGGUCAUUAGGUGCAAAACCUUCAAACUAAAUCCUACGAUGGUUGAUUAAUCAUGUAAUGUGUUCAUUAAAAAAAAAA